RNAcentral lists this ribosomal RNA (380 nucleotides) under uncultured soil bacterium. RNAcentral's name for it is "bacterial SSU rRNA". It matches the Rfam family "Bacterial small subunit ribosomal RNA", at positions 1107 to 1483 of the family's 1533-position model. The record is from RNAcentral.
GUCUUUAGUUGCCAUCGGGUCAAGCCGGGCACUCUAGAGAGACUGCCCAGGAGAACGGGGAGGAAGGUGGGGAUGACGUCAAGUCAGCAUGGCCCUUAUGCCUGGGGCUACACACGUGCUACAAUGACCGGUACAAAGGUCUGCAAACCCGCAAGGGGGAGCCAAUCCCUAUUGACCGGCUUCAGUUCAGAUUGGUGUCUGCAACUCGACCCCAUGAAGUCGGAAUCGCUAGUAAUCCCGGAUCAGCACGCCGGGGUGAAUACGUUCCCGGGCCUUGUACACACCGCCCGUCACACCACGAAAGCCCGUUGUACCAGAAGUCGCUGGAGCCAACCUGCAAGGGGGGCAGGCGCCCAAGGUAUGGCUGGUGACUGGGGUGA